Molecule: ribosomal RNA, 253 nt
Filed under: uncultured bacterium
Lineage: Bacteria
Description: partial 16S ribosomal RNA
Rfam family: Bacterial small subunit ribosomal RNA
Source: RNAcentral
UACGAGAGCCCCAAGCGUUAUCCGGAAUUACUGGGCGUAAAGGGUGCGUAGGUGGUAAUGUUAGUCGUUUGUGAAAUCUCGGAGCUUAACUUCGAGCCCGCAAGCGAAACGGCAUUACUUGAGAAUGUGAGGGGUGUGCGGAACUCUAGGUGUAGGGGUGAAAUCCGUUGAUAUCUAGGGGAACACCAAAAGCGAAGGCAGCACACUGGCACAUAUCUGACACUGAAGCACGAAAGCGUGGGUAGCGAAAAGG